CCCGUGUCCUGAAGCAGUCUUCGGAAGUGCUUUAGGGAUCGUCUGGGGACACGAGAGGAGCUGGGACGAAGCAGGUUGUGAAAGAGGAAAGAAGAGAAUGGGGGACACAGGGGUCAAGGUCCAGUUGAGCUUAAUAGGUUUGCAUACUGAGAUGCCAUGGUGAUGAAGGGAAAGGCCAAUCCUGAAGUAUUUCCAGCUCAACUGAAAUCAGGAAACACAGAAUAACCCAGAAAGAAAGCCUGCUGAAGAGACAUGCCUCGACCGGAGGGAUUUGGAUAAGCACUUGAAAUUUUUUGCCUGCCACAGAAGUUUGGACUCUCCUACCUGUCUCACCUUGUUCCUUGUGGUGUGAACUCUCUACCCUUUCCAAACCAAAAAAGCCUCAAGGCAGCCUGGCUGUUUGUCAAAUAAAUCCCUCUCUUGAA
Long non-coding RNA from Tachyglossus aculeatus (Australian echidna), 425 nucleotides. RefSeq lists it as uncharacterized. The record is from RefSeq and is a predicted model, not a curated record. NCBI's taxonomy places the organism in Eukaryota, Metazoa, Chordata, Mammalia, Monotremata, Tachyglossidae. The transcript has 2 exons.